UACGGAGGGUGCAAGCGUUAAUCGGAAUUACUGGGCGUAAAGCGCGCGUAGGCGGCUGGAUAAGUCGAUUGUGAAAGCCUUGGGCUCAACCUGAGAAUUGCAGUCGAGACUGUUCGGCUAGAGUGUGGGAGAGGGUGGUGGAAUUCCCGGUGUAGCGGUGAAAUGCGUAGAUAUCGGGAGGAACAUCAAAGGAGACGGCGACCACCGGGAUCUACACUGACGCUGAGGUGCGAAAGCGUGGGUAGCAAACAGG
This 253-nucleotide ribosomal RNA is filed under the name uncultured bacterium. RNAcentral describes it as "partial 16S ribosomal RNA". It matches the Rfam family "Bacterial small subunit ribosomal RNA", at positions 524 to 776 of the family's 1533-position model. The record is from RNAcentral.